Molecule: ribosomal RNA, 454 nt
Filed under: uncultured bacterium
Lineage: Bacteria
Description: partial 16S ribosomal RNA
Rfam family: Bacterial small subunit ribosomal RNA
Source: RNAcentral
GAUGAACGCUGACAGAAUGCUUAACACAUGCAAGUCUACUUGAACUUCGGUUUGGGUGGCGGACGGGUGAGUAACGCGUAAAGAACUUGCCUCACAGUUAGGGACAACAUUUGGAAACGAAUGCUAAUACCUGAUAUUAUGAUUUUAGGGCAUCCUAGGAUUAUGAAAGCUAUAUGUGCUGUGAGAGAGCUUUGCGUCCCAUUAGCUAGUUGGAGAGGUAACGGCUCACCAAGGCGAUGAUGGGUAGCCGGCCUGAGAGGGUGAACGGCCACAAGGGGACUGAGACACGGCCCUUACUCCGACGGGAGGCAGCAGUGGGGAAUAUUGGACAAUGGACCAAAAGUCUGAUCCAGCAAUUCUGUGUGCACGAUGAAGUUUUUCGGAAUGUAAAGUGCUUUCAGUUGGGAAGAAAAAAAUGACGGUACCAACAGAAGAAGUGACGGCUAAAUACGUG